Molecule: ribosomal RNA, 466 nt
Filed under: Vreelandella stevensii
Lineage: Bacteria; Pseudomonadati; Pseudomonadota; Gammaproteobacteria; Oceanospirillales; Halomonadaceae
Description: partial 16S ribosomal RNA
Rfam family: Bacterial small subunit ribosomal RNA
Source: RNAcentral
CCUACGGGUAGGCUGCAGUGGGGAAUAUUGGACAAUGGGCGAAAGCCUGAUCCAGCCAUGCCGCGUGUGUGAAGAAGGCCUUCGGGUUGUAAAGCACUUUCAGUGGGGAAGAAAGCCUUGGGGCUAAUACCCUCGAGGAAGGACAUCACCCACAGAAGAAGCACCGGCUAACUCCGUGCCAGCAGCCGCGGUAAUACGGAGGGUGCGAGCGUUAAUCGGAAUUACUGGGCGUAAAGCGCGCGUAGGCGGUCUGAUAAGCCGGUUGUGAAAGCCCCGGGCUCAACCUGGGAACGGCAUCCGGAACUGUCAGGCUAGAGUGCAGGAGAGGAAGGUAGAAUUCCCGGUGUAGCGGUGAAAUGCGUAGAGAUCGGGAGGAAUACCAGUGGCGAAGGCGGCCUUCUGGACUGACACUGACGCUGAGGUGCGAAAGCGUGGGUAGCAAACAGGAUUAGAUACCCGAGUAGUC